This 491-nucleotide ribosomal RNA is filed under the name uncultured bacterium. RNAcentral's name for it is "partial 16S ribosomal RNA". It matches the Rfam family "Bacterial small subunit ribosomal RNA", at positions 29 to 506 of the family's 1533-position model. The record is from RNAcentral.
AGUGAACGCUGGCGGUAGGCCUAACACAUGCCAGUCGAACGGCAGCACAGUAAGAGCUUGCUCUUACGGGUGGCGAGUGGCGGACGGGUGAGGAAUACAUCGGAAUCUACUUUUUCGUGGGGGAUAACGUAGGGAAACUUACGCUAAUACCGCAUACGACCUACGGGUGAAAGCAGGGGAUCUUCGGACCUUGCGCGAUUGAAUGAGCCGAUGUCGGAUUAGCUAGUUGGCGGGGUAAAGGCCCACCAAGGCGACGAUCCGUAGCUGGUCUGAGAGGAUGAUUCGCCCAACGGGAAGUGGACACGGGUCAAGCCCCCCAGGGGAGGCAGCAGUGGGGAAUAUUGGAAAAGGGGGGAAAGCCUGAACCACCCAAACCGGGUGGGUGAAGAAGGCCUUCGGGUUGUAAAGCCCUUUUGUGGGGAAAAAAAAGCAGCAGGUUAAUACCCCGCUGUUCGGACGGUACCAAAAGAAUAAGCACCGGCAAACUGCGG